UACAGAGGUCCCGAGCGUUGUUCGGAUUCACUGGGCGUAAAGGGUGCGUAGGUGGCUGGGCAAGUUUGAUGUGAAAGCUCAGGGCUUAACCCUGAAAUGGCAUUGAAUACUGCCUGGCUGGAGGUUUGGAGGGGGGACUGGAAUUCUUGGUGUAGCAGUGAAAUGCGUAGAUAUCAAGAGGAACACCAGUGGCGAAGGCGGCUGGCUGGGUCCACAUUGACGCUGAGGCUCGAAAGCGUGGGGAGCAAACAGG
This 253-nucleotide ribosomal RNA is filed under the name uncultured bacterium. RNAcentral's name for it is "partial 16S ribosomal RNA". It matches the Rfam family "Bacterial small subunit ribosomal RNA", at positions 524 to 776 of the family's 1533-position model. The record is from RNAcentral.